GCCAGUUAAGACUAGUUCUGCUGUUGUAAUUUACAAGCAAGUCAGAUUGUGUAAAAUAACUCAUUUAAUAAAGUAGUGCUUUGAUUUUACAACACCACAGGAUAAAUGGUUCUAGAAAUUCUGUUCUAACUUUCCUUAUUAUUUGCCUUAUAAAAAUGAAUUGAUGAGCUAGUGUUGCAAGAGCAGUCCUCCCUUCUCAGCUCAGUGGCAGGCUUGUUAACUAGAGCAGGCUCAUUCAUUAAAUCGUGCACAUGAUUCUACAGCAGCUGAUGUAGGCUAAGGAAUGGCUGAGCUGCUGCUUCAGUAUUCACAGCUGCAUGUCAUUUCCUGUGUGUCCAUCUGGGAGUGCACUGUAGAUGACAG
Molecule: long non-coding RNA, 363 nt
Filed under: Androctonus crassicauda
Lineage: Eukaryota; Metazoa; Arthropoda; Arachnida; Scorpiones; Buthidae
Source: RNAcentral